UGACACGACCCACCCCGAAUUUCACCCUGAAACCCAAAGUAAGUCGUGCGGGGACCACCUCCAAGGAAAAUUUACUGAAAAGAUUAAGCAAAUCUCCCUUGCAGAUGGACAACCCUAACUCGAAAAUUUCAUAUUACACUUCUGAACAUCACAUAAUAUACAAAAAUUCUAAAGUAUUCAGAGCUACUAAACACAAGCGGAAGCAAGAAAAUACGAGUAGGUUGAACAGGUAACCUACUGGCGAAAACUGGCAGAAAUGCGGGUGACUAUGCCUCGUCUCCUACUAGAUCCAACCCGAACUCUGCAGACUGGGCAANNNNN
Molecule: long non-coding RNA, 321 nt
Filed under: Fragaria vesca (wild strawberry)
Lineage: Eukaryota; Viridiplantae; Streptophyta; Magnoliopsida; Rosales; Rosaceae
Description: long non-coding RNA (FVES_LNC001865)
Source: RNAcentral